Molecule: ribosomal RNA, 518 nt
Filed under: uncultured bacterium
Lineage: Bacteria
Description: bacterial SSU rRNA
Rfam family: Bacterial small subunit ribosomal RNA
Source: RNAcentral
AGAGUUUGAUUAUGGCUCAGGAUGAACGCUAGCGACAGGCUUAACACAUGCAAGUCGAGGGGCAGCAUAAAAGUAGCAAUACGUUGGUGGCGACCGGCGCACGGGUGAGUAACGCGUAUGCAACCUACCUAUCAGAGGGGAAUAACCCGGCGAAAGUCGGACUAAUACCGCAUAAAACAGGGACACCGCAUGGUGAUAUUUGUUAAAGAAAUUCGCUGAUAGAUGGGCAUGCGUUCCAUUAGGUAGUUGGUGAGGUAACGGCUCACCAAGCCGACGAUGGAUAGGGGAACUGAGAGGUUGGUCCCCCACACUGGUACUGAGACACGGACCAGACUCCUACGGGAGGCAGCAGUGAGGAAUAUUGGUCAAUGGGCGAGAGCCUGAACCAGCCAAGUCGCGUGAAGGAAGAAGGAUCUAUGGUUCGUAAACUUCUUUUGCAGGGGAAUAAAGUGCAGGACGUGUCCUGUUUUGUAUGUACCCUGAGAAUAAGGAUCGGCUAACUCCGUGCCAGCCGCCGC